GUCGGAAUCGGAAGCCAGAGGAGGUAGAAGGAGCAUAUUUGCCGCCAUGGAUUUGGAAGGCAGUCCGUCUCUUCUUCAAUUUCACAUGCCCGCUGAGUGGGAACCCCAUUCCCAAUGUUGGAUGGGUUGGCCUGAACGGCCUGAUAAUUGGAGGGAUAAUGCAAUCCAUGGACAACGUGUAUUUGCUAAGGUGGCAUCUUCAAUCUCGAAGUUCGAAUCGGUGACUGUCUGUGCUACUGCG
Molecule: unclassified non-coding RNA, 241 nt
Filed under: Hevea brasiliensis (rubber tree)
Lineage: Eukaryota; Viridiplantae; Streptophyta; Magnoliopsida; Malpighiales; Euphorbiaceae
Source: RNAcentral